UCUUCAAAGACUUUGUCAAUCAAAGAUUUAUUUACAUUUUUAAUUGGAAAAACAUGAUCUGAGUAGAUUUUAUUAUCUCCAACCAAAGUGUACAACACAUUACUGCUUUUAACAGUAGACACACCUGUCUUAUCAACCUUGACAGGAUCAAUCACUUGCUUCUUAACAGAUGGAACCUCAGGAGUAUCAGGAUCACAAAGGAUGUGAUUCUCUCGUGGAAUAUCUACUCCUUUCAUCUUGCUAAGUGAUUUAUCCUGAUCACUUACAGCCACUUCUGAUUCAUCAUCCGAUGUCUCAUAGUCCUCGAUAAUUGGAGGACUUUGCUUCAUGGAUGGUGAAGUUUCUUGUUCCUUAGAGGCUGUGUUUGAAGAAUUGUCCGGUUUGAACCCAAGGCCAGUAGUAAACUCCUCAACAUCAAGAGGCACACUGGGUUCAUACCGAGGCAUUUCCUCCUCAUCAGGCAUCUUGGUAUAAUUGUUCAUCAAGGGGG
RNAcentral lists this long non-coding RNA (490 nucleotides) under Helianthus annuus (common sunflower). The record is from RNAcentral. Lineage: Eukaryota; Viridiplantae; Streptophyta; Magnoliopsida; Asterales; Asteraceae.